UGCAGCUGCAAUGCGUUUUACAUAAAGACUUCAAUAUUUCUCGAGAAACUGAGUUUUCCCAUAGCGUAAGCUACUUACGCAAUACUCGUUCCCUCCUCUCAGGGAACCGAGGUUACGUUAGUAACCGAGUCGUUUCAGAACCCCAGCGCCAGAACCUGAAGUGAGGGGUGGAGUUUUUGACAAUGAGACAAGCAUGGCGGAGAGCAUGAGACAUUUCGAAUGAAUGAAGACCACAAGGAAAAGGCCCGCAACAAUCUCCUGGAACAGUCAGAAGCUUCCAGAGAGCCCUUUCUAUUUCAUUUUGUGUUCAGGGAUGACAUGGAGUUAUUUUAGCAAGAAUGUGCCCCAUGUCUGAGUUUUGAUGUGGUGCAUGAUGGUGAAGGAGAAGGCUGGGAGCAGUUUCCUCUCUCUAUGGUGCUUUGUGCUGGGACUCAGGCAGACAUUGCAAUUAGCAACAGGUAGACUGACAGGACUGCAGCCAGAGCUUGACUUAUUGUCAUGCGGAUGCACAAUCUGCAUGGAACUGACAAGGAAAAAGAUAAGGAUGGAAGCAGUGAUGGAGAAAGUGAUGAAGAGGAUGAGGACAAGAAACCACAGUUGGAGCUUGCCAUGAUGCCACAUUAUGAUGUGAAUCAACAGCCCGAGUCAGAGUAAGUGCAGUUUUUUUAAUAUAUAUUUAUUUACCUUAUUCAAAUGUUUUUAGCUUUACUGUAUGCAAAUCAGAAAUCAUAUUCAGUAUAAUAUUUUGAAUUUCUAACAUUGUUUUGUGUUGUGCUGCUUUAUUGAAUUGUCAUAAGACAAAACCCCAUUUUGAUGUUUAUACGGUAUCGGGUGACCCAGUGAGGGGCGCAGACAUUGUCUGCUGUCUGGUCAGAGAAAGGGCAAGUGGAGAUUUUUGACCUCCGAACUCAACAGAGGAAGUGCACAGUUCCUCAUCAAUGUCGGCCUUCAUCAAGCUGCAGAAGGAAGCCACACCUCUUUUAAUUUUUCUGGACACAUUACAGAAGGUUUUGCCAUUGAUUGUUCACCCAAGGUACCAGGUUAGCCCGUAACCCUAUAUUUGACUUUACUAGGCUUUAAAAGUUUUGUGAAGAGACAGACAGGACUUGGACUUGGUCAAAGAGAAAAAAGUUAUGGACUAAUCAGGCUAAGGUCUAAGAUCCUGUUCACAACUGGUAUUAAGAUGAGUUUCAGGUGAUCGAUCACAUGUGGUCAGCAUUAAAUACAGGUCUAAAAGGGGUCUAAAAUGUUUUGUGAUUGGGUCACUAAAACCCACAUACAAAUGUGAUCAAAAGCAGGUGUGACAGCAUCAUAUUUGAGGUGUAAAAGCAAAUCCGUCCUGAAUGUGUACAGCAUUCAGAACCGGACAGCAGCGAAGCACCACCCCUCACCUGUAAAUCGGUCGCUGCACUAAAACAAAAAUGUUAAACUUUGCUGGUUACGAGCAGCUAUAAACGAAAAUCACCGCCCCAUCGUGGGGUAUAAUUCUGCAAGAAAUGUUGCGUUUGUGCUUUGAUUAAAUUUCAGCUGCAUCUGGAAGAAACAUCAUGCUUUUUUUUCACGCUUUCUUUGUCUUUUCUGACUUUGUUGUGCUUUAUUAUCAUGCAGGAAGACAUUGACAUAGUGACUGAUGUAUGUCGUCGUGAAAUCAGAGACCCUCCCCUCCAAAUCCGAACACAAGUGUUCACAAGAGGCACAUUUGAGUGACCAGGUGUAAACGGGUCUAAGAUUUAGGAUGUUUGGUAAUUGCGACUGCAAGAAUAACAUUCACGUCUGGGAGCCACAUGAGGGUGGGACGUCCUGGGAGAUUGACCAAUGGCCUUUCAGUCUGUUGAGGAUCUACAGUGGUCACCUACUGAAGCCACAGUUUUUGCAUCAUGCUCGGUGGAUCAGUCUGUUCGGAUUUGGGACAUAAGGGCACCAGCUAAUUCUAUGCUUUCAGACAAUGAGGUUCAUUCUUCAGACAUCAAUGUUGUCAGUUGGAACCGGACUGAACCUUUCAUUUUGUCUGGGGUUGAUGAUGGUCUCCUGAAAGUUUGGGACUUAAGACAGUUCCAGAUGAGGAUGAGCAUGAGGAAAGGCAUAUUAAUAUUAAUAUUAUUGUUAUUUUCCAACUAAAGCAUACUCAAAGUAAAACAAAAUUAUUAUUGCAUUCAAUCUUUGGUAAAUAACCUCUCUUAAGCCAAGCAGUAGUACAUGUAUGUAUUGCUAAAGGAAGUCAAAUUCCCCAUUAACCAAUGGGAACUUUUGUGUUACUUUGUGUAAUACUUGUGUUAUAAAGUUUUCAGCAAAAUGAUAAUUGUGGUCACAUUUAUUUUAAUAUCUCUUGGAUAAAUACGGUGUACUCUUUCAAAUUUAACUCAGGAAAGCUCAAAUAUGAUUUAUUAAAUACAUUUUACACAAAUUAUUCAAAUAGGGUAUCUAAUAUGAUUUAAAAAUGAAUUUCAGUCAUGUGCAGCUUAUACCUAAGCCCUUCAAAUAGUUUCAUUUUCCUCAAAUGAAAUUUGAGCCUUUUCUACAAGACGCAGCAUGACACCGUGUUGUCUCUCUGGAACCUUUCUGUGUGUCUGUCACACCUAUUAUUGCCUCCUAAUCUUUCUUCUUAUGCUACAUCUCUGUCUGCUCUGUCUUACUUUUUCCUCAGUCUAGUUGUCCAGUGGCCAGUUUUAAACAGCACAGUGCACCUGUGACCUCAGUGGAGUGGAGCCCUGUUGACUCCUGUGUGUUUGCUGCAUCCGGAUCAGAUGAUGUCAUCAGCCAGUGGGACCUAUCAGUGGAAUCAUGUGACAUGGGCGGACAGGCAGAGGGCUUGAAACAAUUGCUACCACAGCUACUGUUCCUUCACCAGGGGCAGAAGGAAGUAAAGGAGGUCCACUGGUAUCCACAUAUUCUUGGAGUUCUUAUUUCCAUGGCUUUGUCGGGAUUCAAUGUAUUUGGAACUAUUGCUGUAUAACUCUUUGUGUGUGUGUGAGACGGGGAGAGAUUGGAUGUUUGUUUGUUUCUGGCAGGAUGAGCGUGCAUGCAUAUGAUUUUAAAAGAACAUAGAUGGAUGUGUGAAUGUCUAGGACUCGUGUAAAUACUAAUUUCCAAACGUAUACCCGUUAUAGAAAAGUGAAACUUUAUGGCAUACUUAAUACAUGUGUGUUGUUUGUGUAGUAGUUUUUAUGUAGGGUUUAAAAAGAGACACUUAAAAAGAACCACUAAGGAAUUAUAAUAAAUUUUAGACUGUUUCAAAUGUCAGGCAAAUUUGAAACAGUUUUUUGUUUCCAUCUAAAGCUUCUCAUGGCAGACUGCAAGUCUGUUUGCAAAUCAUAAGUCUCAAUGAAAGACUUUGAAUAGAAAGAGGGAAAGUUUGUAACAGCAUAAGGAUGCCUUCAAAUGUAUGUGUGAAGUAGGGAUCUUUGAGGAAGUAGGUCUUUUUAAGUUGUUUUGCAGCUGAUGCAGUUGGUAAAAUAAAUAUGGUUUUGGGUUCUAAGUGGCAGUUGCUCUAACACAUCUACAUCUGUCCAGAUUUAAUUGGUUCAACAAUUCAAUGCUGUUUCUUUAGAUGUUUGAUUGAAGUUACAAACAAUCCAUAACAGUAAUUAAUAAUUUUAAAGGGACUUAAUGAUAACAAAGGGGAUUUACUCUGAUUCUGAAUGGUCCAAUCAAACAGUCCUGUAAACAUCUUCACAAAAUGUACCUGUGCUGACAUGCAAUCAAAACAAAACUGGAGGGAUUUAAAGAGGAUGGUAGUAAAAUAUUCAUGUAUUUACCUGAAGAUCUUAACAUCAAGAUAAUAUCAAUAACAAUAGCAUGCUUACAAAAGUGCAAAAAUACCACAAGUAAAAAAAAAAAAAAAUACAUAUUUUGGUCUUAUCUACAAAAUUUUUAAUAUGUACAGUGAGGAUUUUGAGUCAAUUUAAAUGAAUUUUUGAUUGUCUGUGAUUAUCCUUUUCUAUUUAAGUCAAAUAAAUGUGAAAGUAAGAAAGGGUGAGAUCAACUGUGUUUGCAAAUAAACCCAACCGUGUAACGCUUUUCAUGCUUCCCUUUUUUAAUCUGGUCAAGAGCGAGAUCUCGGGUAAGUAUUGAUGCUGACUACCAUCCCUGGGAGCGGUUGCACCAGCUAUACGUAAAGUAUAACUUAGCCUAGUUGUGGCGUAAAUGGGCACUAAGUCACAAUUUACGCUACUACUAAAGGAGCGUUGCACCAUCAAACUUAGGCAGAACGUAAAACUACUUAUAAACUAAAUAUUUACGGAAACCUCCAACCAGGAGAAACGGAUGGAAUUAAAAAGCAGAUUCAUUUAAUGGCAUCAAUGAGCUCGUGUUUUGCAUGACAGGUUUCAGUACUUUCGACAUAUAUGAUGAUGUUGGCACUCGUUAACAUUUACAGGAGAAAUCAUGUAAAAAACGUUCUUCUUCAGCAUGAAACUGAUCUUAAAGUGCACUUUCCUGUGUACGGUGUCAAGUUUCAACAUACAAAAUAUAUAAGAUAUUAAAAGAAUAAAUGUUUAUUUUUUCAGCCUGUUAUAUUCGUAUUUAUUUAUUGCCCCUUUUUUAAAAAAAUUAUGUUAUUUACAUCGGCUAAAGAUGCCAUUAAUGAAAUCUUGUUUUAUUACGUAUCGUAUUUUCAUGGGGAUUUAAUUUAUUACAGCUGACAGUUACAAGGUUUCAACAUCAACCGUAACAAGAUCAACCUGAAAUUCACGGCUGUUCAACACUUCGUACAAAUUUCAAGGCGGUAACACGCUCAACAAACCAUAAAAUAAAAUGCGUGAAUUGAUGUCUUAGACGCGGAGGGGAGAUUAGUCCUCCACCACCCGGAUUGAGGUGAGUCACUACGCCACCAUGAGGACUAAAGAGAGCAUGGAGAUUGGGCACUCAAAAUUGGGGAGAAAAUCGUAAAAAAAGAAGAGAGAGCGAGCGAGACCCCGUAAAUAACCAGAAUAUGCCAGAUGGUUGUCAUUCACAGUUUAAAAAAACUACACAUUUUGUACUUGUUUAGCUUUAGGACCAUUUUUGUAGCGUAUAACUGGUGUGAUUCAUUUAUAUUAUUUUUUUUUUUAAUUGAUUGUGCUCAUUUUAGGGUAUGUGUGUGUAAAGUAGUGAUGAAAAACUCCCAAGAUGAAAUUCCAGCAUUUGUGAAUGCAUUUUCACACAACAAACAAAAAGCUUCAUCACUGGCUUUUCAGUGAAACUAAGCAAAAAACAAAAAUAUAUGUGCUGUAAUGGAAAAAAUCGUUUUGUGUAAGGCACUGCAUAUAUAACCAUAAUUUAUAUAUAUGUAUGACUCUGUACUUGUUUUUUAGAAAUAUGUUUCUUAGCAUAACCUACAUUCCAUGUUAUAUUAACUCCAGCAUUCCCUCUCCAUAUGAGAUUUAAUCAGUUUCCAGUUAAUCGAAAAAGGUAAAGUGCCCUAUAAUAG
Molecule: long non-coding RNA, 5407 nt
Organism: Xyrauchen texanus (razorback sucker)
Lineage: Eukaryota; Metazoa; Chordata; Actinopteri; Cypriniformes; Catostomidae
Exons: 6
Source: RefSeq, a predicted model, not a curated record